CCUACGGGAGGCAGCAGUGAGGAAUAUUGGUCAAUGGCCGGAAGGCUGAACCAGCCAAGCCGCGUGAAGGACGAAGGUGCCAAGCAUUGUAAACUUCUUUUGUCAAGGGACAAAAUCAGGCUCGAGAGCCUGACCGAGGGUACUUGAAAAAAAAGCAUCGGCUAACUCCGUGCCAGCCGCCGCGGUAAUACGGAGGAUGCGAGCGUUAUCCGGAUUUAUUGGGUUUAAAGGGUGCGUAGGCGGGCUUUUAAGUCAGCGGUAAAAGCCCGGGGCUCAACCCCGGCGAGCCGUUGAGACUGGCUGUCUUGAGAUGUCGAGAGGUAUGCGGAAUGCGCAGUGUAGCGGUGAAAUGCUUAGAUAUUGCGCAGAACUCCGAUUGCGAAGGCAGCAUACCGGCGGCGAUCUGACGCUGAGGCACGAAAGCGUGGGUAUCGAACAGGAUUAGAUACCCGUGUAGUC
This 459-nucleotide ribosomal RNA is filed under the name uncultured bacterium. Its description in RNAcentral is "partial 16S ribosomal RNA". It matches the Rfam family "Bacterial small subunit ribosomal RNA", at positions 338 to 795 of the family's 1533-position model. The record is from RNAcentral.